RNAcentral lists this long non-coding RNA (887 nucleotides) under Anas platyrhynchos platyrhynchos (common mallard). Its description in RNAcentral is "lncRNA (ENSAPLG00000030524.1)". Lineage: Eukaryota; Metazoa; Chordata; Aves; Anseriformes; Anatidae. The record is from RNAcentral.
UCCCCCGGGAGCAAACUGCUCCAGCACGGGUUUCCCACGGGUUGCAGCUCCCCCCAGACCUCCUGCUCCUGCGUGGGCUCCUCUCCACGGGUUGCAGCUCCGGCCCGGGGCCUGCUCCUGUGGGGGCUCUCCAUGGGCCGCAGCCUCCUCCAGGCCACAGCCACCUGCUCCACCGGGGGCUCCUCCACCCCUGGGGGGGCUGCAGCGUGGAGAUCUGCUCCAUGUGGGACCCCUGGGUGCAGGAGGACAGCCUGCUCCACCAAACUCAGCUUCUGGACUGCAUAAGCAUAGGUCACUAAGAUUCAGUUACAAAUUUUGUUUUUCUUUGAGACUGAAGUCAGAAAGUUAAAAUUACUAAUAUUAGACAUGAUCUCUGUUUCAUUUUAAAAAUAAUACAUUAAGUUAUUCAAACCCAGAUAAAGAUGACAAAUUAUCUGUUCUUCAGAGGGAUUAGAUGGUCAGAGAGUAAUUACAUGCUUACACUGCUUACCAAAGUUAAAUAAAUACAUCACGAGAUACAUACUGUUCAUUAUGAGCACUGCCAGUGCGCGGUCUUCUGUGAGGAGAGCAGUGGGACUUGGACAUUUCCAUUCAAAGAGUUUUCAUAUCUUCUUUUGUUCCAGGAUCACAGACAGAGGACAAGAGAGACCGAGGAGUUCACUUUAUCUUGCCUCUGUUCCAAGGCAAUAUCAACAAGAUAUCAAAAAAGAAACAAAGAAAAAGCAUCUGAAUUGAGAUGAUCAAGGGAGAAUAAUUCCUGUUCUUGUUUUCUUUCUUACUAACAAGACUUUUUCCUGUAAGUAAGUUUCCAGUUCAUUUGUUCCUUAUUCCCAGCCCAGAGCAAACCAUCAAUACCAUCUGCUGAAUAAACCCUGAUGUGAAAGACA